ACGAGGGACCAAGGUGCUGAACUAACAGCAGGGGGAGGAUGAUUCUUCAGGUAACAACAUAGCCCGUCGACUAGAGAAUUAAGUUAACUGUUUGCUUUACUUGAAGCUCCAAAUUGUAGUAAUUUUAUUCGUUCACUAAUUUGGUAUAAUCUUAAUCUAGGAGGAUUAGCACUGUAUGAUAUGAGAUACUGACGUUUAGCAAUGAUAAAAGUCUGAUGUUGAAUGGUUCUUUUCGGAGUACAGUUGUAAGAUCUAUGAUUCUAGCUUCGACCUUUAACUGGACAGUACUAAUUGGACAUAUAAUUGAUGAUUUAUGCACAGCAAGAUAUUCUGUUGUUUUUAGUUCUUCAAUCAGAUUCAUCUAGCCCUUUGUUGACUUUCUAAUUGUUACCCUCUACCUCUGAAACUCAGAAAUCAGAGAAAGGUCAUUGGCAAUUUGGCAUAUCCCUGUCACUGGCGAAGAUUUGCUAGAGAGGAAGAGCACCAGAUUUUUUUUCUAUUGUUGGGGGCAUACAUAAUACAUAUAGAUAAAUUUGGACCAUUUUUAACAGAGAGAUUUCUUGCCAAAAAUAUUAACUCUGUCCAGCAGUGGGCAUUGUCAAGGUAAUAAAAGGAAUUUGCUGAACCUAAUUGAAUGAAAGAGGGAUGGCUAAUCCGAUUGAGAACCUUCUGUAACUGAAUAGACUUACGAACGAUCAACAAUACUAAAUAGUUCCAAAUUAACAGACAUUGCUUGAUUAAAAUACUGAUUUAAGAAUUUGGCGAAUCUAUAAUUCUCUACAUAAUCACUUAGUGUAUUUUUGAUCACCGGGUUAUCCUAGACCACUUGGGGACAGUAUCAUCAAUUUCUUGCAUACUGCAAUGCAAGUUUUAAAAGCCAAUUUCUUAUGUUUCUUAUUAUCUUUAUGUUCACCUAACUGCCAAGAAUCAUAAAAGGAUGCACCUAAGGAGGUAGAUUUUGUUUUAUGCAUAUUUUAAGUGUACGUAUGCUGCAACUGAUUAACAAAACAUUGUUCAACCUUCUAUGAGUCUGCCUAGGGAGCUGCACAGAUUUGGAACAACUUCCAGAACAAGCACCAAGCAUUUUGGUCAGGUACCACUAAGCUGCCAGAGCAAGAUAGCUGGGAUGUCAAGUCCCUAGGGCAAUGGUAAAUCUCAAAUUGCCUGAUGUUCGAUGGGAAGCAUCAGACAAUACCAAUGUCCAGUAGUAAGAUCUGAUUGUGCAGGUGGUCAAGCCAAGAUAAGUGUGCGUGCAUCACCGUUUAGUCGAGAUUUAGAAAAAGAUGAUGUCUGCUAUGAUAGUUUCCAGAAUAGUUUGGCCCUUGAGACACUUCCACUGUAUGCAUGUGUGUUCCUUUUUUCCAGAGAUAUGCAUGUCUAUUGAUUAUUAUUGGAAUUGGUUCAACAAACAGUGUAUAUGUGACAAAAUUACUAAUAUACUGACCGAGCCUGAUAAUCUGACUAAUCCAUACAGUGGAUAUGCACCAAUGCUCAAAUUUUAAAAAUGAAGGAUUCAACUUUUUUUGGAUUAUUAUUAUUUGUGAAGUCGUGAGUAUGCCUAGCAACCGUAAAAAAUAUAUAGUUCGACUUAGUGGUAGGUUCUGCAGUAGUCUUGCCUUGAAGGUUUCGUCAUAGUAAAAAUUGAUAUGUCUUUAUGAAGUAAUCUGAGCAUUUUGUUGGUUGCAG
Molecule: long non-coding RNA, 1686 nt
Filed under: Triticum aestivum (bread wheat)
Lineage: Eukaryota; Viridiplantae; Streptophyta; Magnoliopsida; Poales; Poaceae
Description: long non-coding RNA (TAES_LNC006752)
Source: RNAcentral